RNAcentral lists this ribosomal RNA (253 nucleotides) under uncultured bacterium. RNAcentral's name for it is "partial 16S ribosomal RNA". It matches the Rfam family "Bacterial small subunit ribosomal RNA", at positions 524 to 776 of the family's 1533-position model. The record is from RNAcentral.
UACGAAGGGUGCAAGCGUUACUCGGAAUUACUGGGCGUAAAGGGUGCGUAGGUGGUUGUUUAAGUCUGUUGUGAAAGCCCCGGGCUCAACCUGGGAAUGGCAAUGGAUACUGGACAGCUAGAGUGCGGUAGGGGGUAGUGGAAUUCCCGGUGUAGCAGUGAAAUGCGUAGAGAUCGGGAGGAACACCAGUGGCGAAGGCGGCUACCUGGACCAGCACUGACACUGAAGCACGAAAGCGUGGGGAGCAAACAGG